RNAcentral lists this long non-coding RNA (236 nucleotides) under Callithrix jacchus (white-tufted-ear marmoset). RNAcentral's name for it is "lncRNA (ENSCJAG00000073769.1)". Lineage: Eukaryota; Metazoa; Chordata; Mammalia; Primates; Cebidae. The record is from RNAcentral.
AAAAUACACAAAUACCAUUGUGUUACAACUGCCUACGGUAUCCAGUACGGUGCUGCUCAGGUUUGUAGACUCCCUUUGUCUUUUCUUUUCUUUUUUUUUUUUUUGAGACAGAGUUUCACUCUUGCUGCCAGGAUGGAGUGCAAUGCUGCAAUCUUGGCUCACCAAAACCUCCACUUCCCAGGUUCAAGUGAUUCUCCUGCCUCAGCCUCCCAAAUAGCUGAGAUUACAAGCAUGCA